ACGCUCGACACCUACGGGAGGCAGCAGUGGGGAAUAUUGCACAAUGGGGGAAACCCGUGAUGCAGCGACGCCGCGUGAGCGAAGAAGUAUUUCGGUAUGUAAAGCUCUAUCAGCAGGGAAGAAACUGACGGUACCUGACUAAGAAGCACCGGCUAAAUACGUGCCAACAGCCGCGGUAAUCUGAGCGGGCUGGCAAGGC
Molecule: ribosomal RNA, 199 nt
Filed under: uncultured bacterium
Lineage: Bacteria
Description: partial 16S ribosomal RNA
Rfam family: Bacterial small subunit ribosomal RNA
Source: RNAcentral